UACAGAGGAUGCAAGCGUUAUCCGGAAUCACUGGGCAUAAAGCGUCUGUAGGUUGCAUAUCAAGUCUGCUGUUAAAGACUAGGGCCUAACCCUGGGAAAGCAGUGGAAACUAGUAUGCUUGAGUAUGGUAGAGGUAGAGGGAAUUCCUGGUGUAGCGGUGAAAUGCGUAGAUAUUAGGAAGAACACCAACGGCGAAAGCACUCUACUGGGCCACAACUGACACUGAGAGACGACAGCUAGGGGAGCAAAUGGG
This 253-nucleotide ribosomal RNA is filed under the name uncultured bacterium. Its description in RNAcentral is "partial 16S ribosomal RNA". It matches the Rfam family "Bacterial small subunit ribosomal RNA", at positions 524 to 776 of the family's 1533-position model. The record is from RNAcentral.